This is a long non-coding RNA of Triplophysa dalaica, 1374 nucleotides long. RefSeq lists it as uncharacterized. NCBI's taxonomy places the organism in Eukaryota, Metazoa, Chordata, Actinopteri, Cypriniformes, Nemacheilidae. The transcript is spliced from 3 exons. The record is from RefSeq and is a predicted model, not a curated record.
UAUACAAGAGGGAGGGUGUUUUUUGCAAUAAUUUCAAACAUUUGGUCUUGUUAGAGAAAUAAAAUGAUUUAAACAGAUCAGCUUUUUUUGCUGUGGAUGUAUUUUACGUUUGUCUUGAAUUGUUUGAUGUUAUAAACUUCAAACUUAAAAAAAGAAAACAUUGAAUUAAAUCUGCUUCACAAAGACCACAAAGUUGUUUCCUGGAGAAUUUCCUGUGACUCGAGUCAAACGCUACACAGUUAUUCUUCAAAAGCGUGUGCAAUUCCACUGCAGAGAUCAAGAUUAUCAAGAAAAGAAUACGUUACGUCUCGGACCACCAUUGAAACAUAUUGGAGACGGGACUACAGACGUUUCAAAAGAUGCCUUCACCGCAUCAUUUUCUACAAUACCUCCAUGCAUUUCUAUCCAAACCUGGUGUUUAUAGCUCUGCUCCAUUGAGUCUUUUGUUAAUCGGUCUGGCGGUGUUGAUCGAACCAAAGCUCUUAUGCCCGUGCAGAGACGGGCAGAAUGCGUUGCUAAUAUUGUUCAUCUUUGUUGCACCUGCUUGUUUUACAUUCACAUUAAUGUAUGCCCUGUUAAGACGCAAAUCUGCAGGAAAUAAAAUGGCUGAAGAUACUCUCCAUGCUACAGGUAGAAAUGAGAAUGUUGAUGCUCUAUCUUCUGCAGGAAAAAAGGAUACUGAUGACACUCAGUCAAUGAAUUUGGGGGAAAUUUUGUUAUAUUGUUUGAUUCCUCCUGUGAUGUGGAUCCUCAUCUUGUUAAUUGAUGGUGAUUACGUGGCUUGUGGCAUGACAACAUGGGAAGGAAAUUAUGUUUUCGAUGAAGAGAUCAACAUAAAAUGGUGUCAACCCACUGAACAUUACAAUGCAGGAAAUCGGAGUAUAAAAUAUAAGAAGAUUAUUUGGGAAUCUCAGCUCGCAGGAUAUGUACUGAUCCUUAUCUUUAGUUUUUUAAUCUUUAUCAUAAUUGUUUGCCGUGACUGUCACAACAAAACUGCUGGGGCACAAGAUGGCAAACAGACCAGGACAAAGACUGGGGAAGGGAGUGAGACACGGAGUCAAGCAGCGGAGGUAGAGAUGGAACCAUGUCUAAAACAAAACAAAUAGAUACAUAUCAUAGAUUCAUAUGGAUCCAAUAAAUACAAAACAGUUUAUUCUUGUUUUCACCUCCUUGUUUGUUGUGACACCAAGUAUUGUGAUGCCUCCUUUCUGGUUUCAUUGUUUUAAGAUAGUUAUAAGUCUCUUUGUAGAUUGAAAUAGAAGAUUUGUUUUGAUCACAAGCUAAAGUAGCUUUCAGCAGUUUAUGCUUACAGAAGCAUAUGGUUUGCUCUUACACUGUAAAUGCAUUUUUUGGUUGUUUAAGCAAUCGUAUUGA